CCGCCCUCGGGCGCCGCGCCCCCCACGAAGUUCUCCCUCCCGCACCGCCCCCCGCGAGGACUUCAGAGGCGGUCCCUGGCCGGCCGGCGCUGAUUGGCUGUCUCUCCAGCGCCCCGCCCCUGUGCACGCGCAGGAGGUGGGGCGGGCCCCGAAGCGGGCGCGCGCGGCGCGGUCCCGCGGGCGAAGCGUCCGUGACCCGCGUGCCGGCCUCAGCGUCCGGGCCCGGGCGUCCGCGAGGUGGGGGCGGGCGGCGGCGGCGGGGCUGUACCCGGGCUGGGGACUCACGUGGCCCCGAAGGGCCCCCCCCCCCCUUUGCCCCGGCAGCGCUCCCUAGCCGCGGCCAGUCGGGCGUCCCGCAGGGACUGGGAGCUGCCCGAGGGGCCGUCGUCGUCGCCAGCCCGGUAGCCCGGAUGUCGCUGCCCCCCGCGGCGGGGCCGCCGACGCUCCUCUAGGCCCCGGGAGGAGGCUCGUCUUAAAGGGACAGUGCCGAGUUCGUGCCGGAAUGGGCGGCGCAUCCUGCCCUCCGUGCGCGACCCGUGUCCUGAGGGGACGCCGCGGCGCCCGCGCCAUGGGCCCCCUCCUCCGGGCGGGGCGCCGUUGGAGCGCGGCGCGCCCUGCCCCGGGACGGCCGCAGAUGGGUUUUCUCGGGCCCGAGCCGUGGCCGGUGGCGCCGCGCGGGGCCGGGAGGCGCCGGCCUGUGAUUGGCCGAGGCCGCCGUGAAUGCAGGACAUUGUCUGGUCGCGGCCGUCUCUGUCCCUGCCCGCCGCCCUUCCACAGACCAAGAUGGGUGCGGAGCGAGGCUCCGGUCGCCAAGGUGCCCGCGGCCGGGGAGUGCCUUCGAUGGUGGGAACACCACAGUGGGAAAACGUAACUUUUACGAGAUCACGGAUUCUGAGAAUGGCAAAAGGUGAGCCUGUGGCUGCCGGAGAGCCGUCUGUGCUUAGUUUGCUGCGGAAAGUCAAGCAUGUCUGUCACCUUUGAAGAGAAACACCCCCAGAAAUUUGCAUCUCUAUUCUCUUUUAACCAGACAUGGACAUGGACAGUAGCACAUGGGAAAGUCUGCUCACCUUCUGCUUUUCGGUGUUUUCUCUUUCUCUUUGUUCUUUUUCUUCUUUCAGGCCUAUGGCUUCAUGAGACCCCGAGAAUACCGGCUGGCCAUGUUGGGUACAUCGGGUUGGUGUCCAUCCCAGCAGAGGUGCUGGUGUCCAUAGUCAGUAUCGGCCGAAGGCUGCCAAGUCACUCAGUUCUUCAGAAGACAGAGAAAGGAGGGGAGACCAAGAAUGCGUGACAGGAAUUUGGGGGUUCAGUAGCAUAAAGCUGAGAGAAAGGGCUGGUACUUUCAAGACAUUCCCCCCUCCCCUUUCUUCUUCAGUCUGUACCUUCGGCUGAGAAGUGGCACAUCCUUCAUGACAAUCAAGGGUAGAGGGUUGCUGCCUCUCACAUUCCCCUUGGCCUUAGAGACCUGGUGCUACAGGCAGUAGACAGGUCAUGCUCCUGGGGAGCUCUGCCAAAGUCCGGGGGAAAGGGGCUUUCAGUCUCAAAUCAUUCCCUGUCAUUGCUUGUUCACGGUGCCUGUAUCGGGAGGGUUAAGAAAUUAGAAAUAAAAUUAUUCUGAAGGGGAUCACUUGCGACUCAUUAAUCCAUGUGAUUUCUGAUGCUCAUUAUCACUGAAAAUUGAGUUGCCUAAGUCUGUUUAACUUUUGUGAUUAAGGAUCAGCGCUAGGAUUUGAGGUUCCAGGGACAGAGAGGGAUGAAAGAAUUGUGUUCAGCUGUCCUCCGCCCCCACCCGCCCCACAGCCAGCACCCAGUGCUCUUUGUCCUUGGCCAACAAGUGCUUCUCCAUCUCCCGUAAAACACUGACAGGGAGGUGGACAGCGCAGCAUGGAGCACAGGCCAGCUUUGGGCGACCCGAUCCACAAGUCCUGCUGCCAUCAGUGUCUUAGUCCCUAAGGCGCCUAGAGGGGCAGGUCUGACUGAAGCCUGGUCUCAUUAGCCAGGGGUUGUCUUUUUAUUUUAUUGUAGUUUUACAGUGUUCCAUAACGAAGCUCUUUCCAUCUGACAUUUUUCUUUCUUUUUAAAAAGAUUUUAUUUAUUUAUUUGACAGAGAGAGGGAACACAAGCAGGGGCAGUGGGAGAGGGAGAAGUAGGCUUCCGGCGGACCAGGGAGCCCGAUGUGGGGCUCAAUCCCAGGACCCUGGGAUCAUGACCUGAGCCAAAGGCAGACGCUUAACGACUGAGCCACCCAGAUGCCCUCCAUCUGAUAUUUUUCAAAUCCAAAUAUUUAAACAUCUUAUGAAUGUGUAAAACUAUUUUAAAUCUAAUAGCAAGCACCUACUCCUGUAUCUUUGUACUAGUACUUCUCACUCAACAGGUGGCCACCCUCUCUUCCUGGGCUCCAGCACACAACCAGAUUCUGGCACGCCAUCUUCCUUCUUUAACCCCUCAGCCUGGGGUGGGGAUGGCUUCCCAUGGCGGCCGCCCCCGGAUGCCUCACCUUGCUGAUUCCUUUCACUUGGCCCACACUUCUUAAAAGUCUUUUCCGAAAGUCCAAGUGAAUGUGCCUUUCCUUCCCUUCUUGGAUGGGGCCUGCCUCAGACAUCCAUCAUGAUGUGGCCCCUUAUUGAUAUCUCCAGUUUCAUCUGUGGCCUUUCCCUGCUGUGUUUUUUUUCCCCCUCUCACACAGCAAACUACUACUGUCCCCCACACACUUUGACCCUGGAGGAUGCUGUUCUUUCUGUCAGGAAAACUCUAUGAAGACUUCCUUGGGCUCCUUCCACAUGGGCUGCGUCUCUUACAACAUUGACCACAUUGUAUUGGAAUUGCUGCUUGGCCCUUUGAAAAAUGAGGUUCCUUGAGGUCAGAGCUCACAUCAUUCAUCUGCACAUCUUGGUGCUUAGCACCAUGCCAAACACAUACAAGAACAUGAUGAAGGAAUAGCUAAAUACAGAUCGCCAUUUCCUUUAUUGAUUCUUUAUCCAGAUCAGCUGUCUGGCUUUUUCAAAAUUUAAUCAAUUCAAAAUUGAAGUUUCAUUUAUUUCAAUCUUGUCAAUAUUGAUGUAGAUAAAAUGAUUGAUACCCUCUAAUUAACAUUUACGUGGUAGCAUGCUUUUACUACACUGGAUACACCAGAUCUCUCAAACCUUGAGUAAAUUAAUAUUUCUAAUUCAAGUGUUUACAAUUUUUUUUUUUAAGAUUUUAUUUAUUUAUUUGACAGAGAGAGACACGGCAAGAGAGGGAACACAAGCAGGGGGAGUGGGAGAGAGAAGCAGGCUUCCCAAUGAGCAGGGAGCUGAUGCGGGGCUCGAUCCUAGGACCCUGGGAUCAUGACCUGAGCUGAAGGCAGACGCCCAAUGACUGAGCCCCCCAGGCGCCCCUCAAGUGUUUACAAUUUAAGAUCCACUUGUCUCUGCUGAAGGAGCCCGCCAUUUCCCACAGGACCUGGACAUACCGUGAGCUAAAGGUCUUGCUGCUCCACGCCCCUCUGGGGUCCAGCAGCAUCCAUAUGACCGGUGACUGCUUUGGAAAUGAAGAAGCUCAGGAUGAAUCUGGGCCUUUGCAAUCCAAAUCGGCAUCUUCACAAGGGCUGCUGUGACAAAGUACCACAGGCCGGCUGGCUUCAGCGACAGAGCAUCCGCUGGUUCCAGAGGCUGGAAGUCUGAGACCCUCGCUCCCUCUGAGUCUCUGGGGAUAGCCCUUCCCUGCGUCUUCCUAGCUCCUGCAUCCUUGGCCUGCAGCUGCCUGGCUCUGCCCCGUGCCUGGCUCGGCACAUGGCACUCUCUGUGGGUGCCUGCCUCCGCACCUGGGGCUCUCUUCCUCCUCUGUGGAAACCGGUGAUCAUUAAGCCCCCUCUCCCCCAACUCCAGUAUGGCCUCACCCACAACGCUGUGCUUUCCAAGUAAGGCCACAUUCUGCUAGACCUGGGGAUCCCGAGAUGAAGAAGACAUGGCCUUUGGAGGAGAUCCCGGUCAGGAGGGAGACGGGAGAGCAGCAGGAGGGGUUCCCAGGGUGUCUUUCCAGCCAGACUCCAGGCCACCCCCACGAUGAUUCCGUGGCCCUGGAACCUGGAUGUGUAACAAAUCCCAAGCGAUUCUGACUCAGACAGCCUCACUUGCAAUCCCCCGCCAGAGGCAUCAGGAUCCCAGCAGAGGUCCCCAUGCCUCCCAGCUCGCCCAGAGCGGCCCCCAAGUGUGCUUGCUGACAGAUGACAGUGUGUGUGUUUGUGUGCACGUGCGCGUAUAUAAGAAUGAAUCUGAGCAGGAGACCCUAGUUGUGGAGAAAGCAAUCAGGAAUUGGUUGUUAGAAUACAGGUGACAAGAGCCCUCACUCACAGUGUCAUGACAGACACUUUUAUUGUGGCGAACUCUAUACACUAACCUCAAGCAUUUCAAAACAGAGGUGGUUCACUUAUUCAUCCAAUACUUCAGUGCCAAGUUGUACUCAGUGCCUUGGGAUUUGGGGGGUUUGCUCUUAAUUUAAAAAAAUUUAAUAAAUUUAGGAAAUUAAUAUAACACAUUUUGAUUUUGCCCAUUUUGGACAUGUAAAAAUUGUCAUCAUCACAGCAAGGACAUCAAUUACUUUAUUUUACAUUUGUAUGUAUUUUUUUCUGAAUAGGUAAAACCAAAAUGUACAAAGGAUGACGGUACAAAGUGAAUGUCUCUCCCACAGAGGUGACUGCUGUUACUUGAGAAAAGCCAUUUUAACACCAAAGAAGUAAGAAGGACAUAAUCUUAGAGAAAAAAGAGAGCUUUUCCCAAAAGGGAACAGUUAGGGGAAAAAAUAUGUGUAUAUAUUUUUCCUUUUUUUUUAUUCAUCCAUCACUUUUUUCCAAGUAUUUCCACACUCCUUUUAUGAAUGAGGCAUUGUUCCAGGUGGGAGGAGUACAUCAGAGAACAAAACAAUGCAAACACCAUUCCCUGCCUUUUUGGACUUACAUUCCUGUGGGAACUGAAUCUGAAAUUGGGACACAGAAGUCCAAGUCAUAUGAAAAGGGAGAAGCCAACAGAAGCUAAAGGAAGAGGAUGUCCCAGCCAGCCAAGUGCCCCCCGGUGACCUCCAGGCGCAAGGGGUACAAAGGUGGACAUGAGGUUAGAAAUCGCCACCUGCCAUGCCCAGGACUGCUCAGAGGAUACGCCAGUCAGACCAGGUGAAGGACUGCAUGUCUGGGUCUCAUCGGCACUUGAGAAGCAGAGCCUGACAAUAGAGUUUGAUCCAGAUUAGGCACUGCAUUUUAACAAGUUAUAAAGGAAGACAGCGUUGUUGUCUUCCUUUACAAAGGAAGGAAGGAACUCCCUGGACUUCUAGUUAAACAAGAUUUUAUUUAUUUAUUUGAGAGCGAGCGAGCACAGAGGGAGAGGGAGAGAGAAGCAGUCUCCAUGUUGAGCAGGGAGCCCGAUGCAGGACUCGAUCCCAGGACCCUGAGAUCAGGACCUGAGCCGAAAGCAGACGCUUCACCGACUGAGCCACCCAGGAAGGACAUCGUUUCUAGAAUUUGUGUGUUAUCUCCACUUGCAUCUCAUCAUCAUCCCCAUCGGAAGAUCAGUUGUAUACCUUUGACACCCGCUUCGAUUUGGAGCUGAAUUCCGGGCGUAUGACCAAGUUCCUCUCCAGGCAGUACUAGUUUGCACUUCCACUGGCAACAUGAGAGUGUUUCGCCAACAGAAUGUGUUGUCAUACUUUAAACUUUUCCCAAUCUCACAGGUGAGAAAUGUUAUGUUUUAAUUUCUGUAUGUUUGAAUUUUUAUAUUUUAGGGAUAUUUCAAAAUCUUAAGGGUGAACUUUUUCCUUUUUUUUUCUUUUCCUAUCAGGAUUUUGGUCCUUUGUCCUUCAACUU
Molecule: long non-coding RNA, 5830 nt
Organism: Mirounga angustirostris (Northern elephant seal)
Lineage: Eukaryota; Metazoa; Chordata; Mammalia; Carnivora; Phocidae
Exons: 8
Source: RefSeq, a predicted model, not a curated record